AACGAACGCUGGCGGCAUGCCUAACACAUGCAAGUCGAACGAGACCUUCGGGUCUAGUGGCGCACGGGUGCGUAACGCGUGGGAACCUGCCCUUAGGUUCGGAAUAACUCCCCGAAAGGGGUGCUAAUACCGGAUAAUGUCUUCGGACCAAAGAUUUAUCGCCUUUGGAUGGGCCCGCGUUGGUUUAGCUAGUUGGUGGGGUAAAAGCCUACCAAGGCGACGAUCCAUAGCUGGUCUGAGAGGAUGAUCAGCCACACUGGGACUGAGACACGGCCCAGACUCCUACGGGAGGCAGCAGUGGGGAAUAUUGGACAAUGGGCGAAAGCCUGAUCCAGCAAUGCCGCGUGAGUGAUGAAGGCCUUAGGGUUGUAAAGCUCUUUUACACGGGAUGAUAAUGACAGUACCGGGAGAAUAAGCUCCGGCUAACUCCGUG
This 433-nucleotide ribosomal RNA is filed under the name uncultured bacterium. Its description in RNAcentral is "partial 16S ribosomal RNA". It matches the Rfam family "Bacterial small subunit ribosomal RNA", at positions 29 to 507 of the family's 1533-position model. The record is from RNAcentral.